AUUGAACGCUGGCGGCAUGCCUUACACAUGCAAGUCGAACGGCAGCACGGGAGCAAUCCUGGUGGCGAGUGGCGAACGGGUGAGUAAAGUAUCGGAACGUGCCCAGUCGUGGGGGAUAACGUAGCGAAAGUUACGCUAAUACCGCAUACGAUCUAUGGAUGAAAGCGGGGGAUCGCAAGACCUCGCGCGAUUGGAGCGGCCGAUAUCAGAUUAGGUAGUUGGUGGGGUAAAGGCUCACCAAGCCGGCGAUCUGUAGCUGGUCUGAGAGGACGACCGGCCACACUAGGACGGAGACGCGGCGCAGACUCCUACGGGAGGCAGCAGUGAGGAAUUGUGGACAAGGGGCGAAAGCCUGAUCCAGCCAUGCCGCGUGCAGGAUGAAGGCCUUCGGGUUGUAAACUGCUUUUGUACGGAACGAAAAGGUUUGGCCUAAUAAGCUGAGCUCAUGACGGUACCGUAAGAAUAAGCACCGGCUAACUACGUGCCAGCCGCCGCGGUAA
Molecule: ribosomal RNA, 500 nt
Filed under: uncultured bacterium
Lineage: Bacteria
Description: partial 16S ribosomal RNA
Rfam family: Bacterial small subunit ribosomal RNA
Source: RNAcentral